UGAGGAAUCUUCCACAAUGGGCGAAAGCCUGAUGGAGCGACACCGCGUGAAGGAUGAAGCCUUUGUUGGUGUAAACUUCUUUUCUCUGGGAAGAUAAUGACGGUACCAGAGGAAUAAGGGGCGGCAAACUUCGUGCCAGCAGCCGCGGUAAUACGAAGGCCCCAAGCGUUAUCCGGAAUUACUGGGCGUAAAGCGUCUGUAGGUGGUUUCAAAGGUUUCGUGUGAAACUUCGGGGCUCAACCCCGAAUUGCACGGAAAACCAUGAAACUUGAGUGUGGGAGAGGCUAGCAGAAUGGUAAGAGUAGGGGUGCAAUCCGUUGAUACUUACCAGAAUACCAAAAGCGAAGGCAGCUAGCUGGAACAUUACUGACACUGAGAGACGAAAGCGUGGGGAGCGAAA
RNAcentral lists this ribosomal RNA (400 nucleotides) under uncultured bacterium. RNAcentral's name for it is "bacterial SSU rRNA". It matches the Rfam family "Bacterial small subunit ribosomal RNA", at positions 355 to 773 of the family's 1533-position model. The record is from RNAcentral.